CCUACGGGUUGCAGCAGUGGGGAAUAUUGCACAAUGGGCGCAAGCCUGAUGCAGCCAUGCCGCGUGUAUGAAGAAGGCCUUCGGGUUGUAAAGUACUUUCAGCGGGGAGGAAGGCGAUAAGGUUAAUAACCCUGUCGAUUGACGUUACCCGCAGAAGAAGCACCGGCUAACUCCGUGCCAGCAGCCGCGGUAAUACGGAGGGUGCAAGCGUUAAUCGGAAUUACUGGGCGUAAAGCGCACGCAGGCGGUCUGUCAAGUCGGAUGUGAAAUCCCCGGGCUCAACCUGGGAACUGCAUUAGAAACUGGCAGGCUGGAGUCUUGUAGAGGGGGGUAGAAUUCCAGGUGUAGCGGUGAAAUGCGUAGAGAUCUGGAGGAAUGCCGGUGGCGAAGGCGGCCCCCUGGACAAAGACCGACGCUCAGGUGCGAAAGCGUGGGGAGCAAACAGGAUUAGAUACCCUCGUAGUC
This 465-nucleotide ribosomal RNA is filed under the name uncultured bacterium. RNAcentral describes it as "bacterial SSU rRNA". It matches the Rfam family "Bacterial small subunit ribosomal RNA", at positions 338 to 795 of the family's 1533-position model. The record is from RNAcentral.